CAAAUAAACUAUUAAAAACGGAUCGUAUAUCCCCCAAUCACAUAAUCGUUAUAUACGAGUAAUUUACGGAUACGAAAUGAGAAUAAAAAGUAAACGAAUUAAAUUAGAAAAAAACAACAGUGUUUGUCUACGAUGAUUUGCUCGCAUAAUUAUUUUCCAUGUUCAGAGAACCGUAAAUAAUUUUAAAAAGAACAUAUUUUAAUAAACAUGUGUACCUAGUUUCAACUUGAUCUGACUACAAUGUCGUCUUAGAUUCAAUCUAAAUCAAUGGAUACACGGAAAAACGAACGAACGAACAAACCUACACAUCAGAUAACAUUAGGCAGCAACAAUUUGAUUUUCUGGGGGGGGGGGGGGGGGGUGGCUAUGGAUUUUUUUGGGAAAAAAGUUUGUUUCCAGUUUUGGGAGAAAAAAAUAAUUUGUUUCUGAUCCUGAGAAAAAAAAAUUGUUUGUUUCACCCUCAGCUGCCACUAUAUGUAAUGCUAAAAUUGAAAGAAAAAAAUUGUUUUCGACUUCUCGCAAAAAAAA
This 528-nucleotide long non-coding RNA is filed under the name Mytilus galloprovincialis (Mediterranean mussel). The record is from RNAcentral. Lineage: Eukaryota; Metazoa; Mollusca; Bivalvia; Mytilida; Mytilidae.